UCCCUAGUGGCUCAGAUGGUAAAGCGUCUGCCUGCAAUGCGGGAGACCCAGGUUUAAUUCCUGGGUCGGGAA
RNAcentral lists this transfer RNA (72 nucleotides) under Ovis aries (sheep). It matches the Rfam family "tRNA". From Rfam's summary of the family: Transfer RNA (tRNA) molecules are approximately 80 nucleotides in length. Their secondary structure includes four short double-helical elements and three loops (D, anti-codon, and T loops). The record is from Rfam by way of RNAcentral. Lineage: Eukaryota; Metazoa; Chordata; Mammalia; Artiodactyla; Bovidae.